Populus trichocarpa (black cottonwood) is the source of this 340-nucleotide long non-coding RNA. RefSeq lists it as uncharacterized. NCBI's taxonomy places the organism in Eukaryota, Viridiplantae, Streptophyta, Magnoliopsida, Malpighiales, Salicaceae. The transcript is spliced from 2 exons. The record is from RefSeq and is a predicted model, not a curated record.
AUCAUCUGCUAUGAUUGCUAGACGAAGAAAUAGCUUGUGGAAGCUCAAGCAAACGACGGAGAUCAAUCCCCAGGAACGCCAAAAACUGAAAUUGAUGGCAUUGAAAUGGCGUUGGAUUGUGAAGGGGAUGGUGGAGUCACUCCAAGCAAACCAGAUAAGGCAACCCAAAAAUGGCUGAGCGGAAAUCAUCCCUGCAGUCACAAGAACGUUUCUUUUGUUCACAAAAGCAUUCUACGUGAGAUCCUGUGCUGUGAUUCAGCUAUCAAUGUUUUUUUACAAGUCUAUUUAUUUUAUGUUUUAAAAAUAUUUUAAAAAAAAUUAAUUUUUUUUUAAAUUAAUA